This 838-nucleotide ribosomal RNA is filed under the name Microbacterium kyungheense. RNAcentral's name for it is "bacterial SSU rRNA". It matches the Rfam family "Bacterial small subunit ribosomal RNA", at positions 382 to 1233 of the family's 1533-position model. The record is from RNAcentral. Lineage: Bacteria; Bacillati; Actinomycetota; Actinomycetes; Micrococcales; Microbacteriaceae.
CCUGAUGCAGCAACGCCGCGUGAGGGAUGACGGCCUUCGGGUUGUAAACCUCUUUUAGCAGGGAAGAAGCGUGAGUGACGGUACCUGCAGAAAAAGCGCCGGCUAACUACGUGCCAGCAGCCGCGGUAAUACGUAGGGCGCAAGCGUUAUCCGGAAUUAUUGGGCGUAAAGAGCUCGUAGGCGGUUUGUCGCGUCUGCUGUGAAAUCCCGAGGCUCAACCUCGGGUCUGCAGUGGGUACGGGCAGACUAGAGUGCGGUAGGGGAGAUUGGAAUUCCUGGUGUAGCGGUGGAAUGCGCAGAUAUCAGGAGGAACACCGAUGGCGAAGGCAGAUCUCUGGGCCGUAACUGACGCUGAGGAGCGAAAGGGUGGGGAGCAAACAGGCUUAGAUACCCUGGUAGUCCACCCCGUAAACGUUGGGAACUAGUUGUGGGGUCCUUUCCACGGAUUCCGUGACGCAGCUAACGCAUUAAGUUCCCCGCCUGGGGAGUACGGCCGCAAGGCUAAAACUCAAAGGAAUUGACGGGGACCCGCACAAGCGGCGGAGCAUGCGGAUUAAUUCGAUGCAACGCGAAGAACCUUACCAAGGCUUGACAUAUACCGGAAACGGCCAGAGAUGGUCGCCCCGCAAGGUCGGUAUACAGGUGGUGCAUGGUUGUCGUCAGCUCGUGUCGUGAGAUGUUGGGUUAAGUCCCGCAACGAGCGCAACCCUCGUUCUAUGUUGCCAGCACGUAAUGGUGGGAACUCAUGGGAUACUGCCGGGGUCAACUCGGAGGAAGGUGGGGAUGACGUCAAAUCAUCAUGCCCCUUAUGUCUUGGGCUUCACGCAUGCUACAAUGG